CCUACGGGAGGCAGCAGUGGGGAAUAUUGGACAAUGGGGGGAACCCUGAUCCAGCGACGCCGCGUGAGUGAAGAAGUAUUUCGGUAUGUAAAGCUCUAUCAGCGGGGAAGAAAGAAAUGACGGUACCUGACUAAGAAGCCCCGGCUAACUACGUGCCAGCAGCCGCGGUAAUACGGAGGGGGCAAGGGUUAUCCGGAUUUACUGGGUGUAAAGGGAGCGUAGACGGCGAUGCAAGUCUGAGGGGAAAGGCGGGGGGCCAACCCCCGUACUGCUUUGGAAACUGUUGGGCUGGAGUGCAGGAGAGGUAAGUGGAAUUCGUGGUGUAGCGGUGAAAUGCGUAGAUAUUAGGAAGAACACCAGUGGCGAAGGCGGCUUACUGGACUGUAACUGACGUUGAGGCUCGAAAGCGUGGGGAGCGAACAGGAUUAGAUACCCGAGUAGUC
This 443-nucleotide ribosomal RNA is filed under the name uncultured bacterium. RNAcentral's name for it is "partial 16S ribosomal RNA". It matches the Rfam family "Bacterial small subunit ribosomal RNA", at positions 338 to 795 of the family's 1533-position model. The record is from RNAcentral.